Molecule: ribosomal RNA, 253 nt
Filed under: uncultured bacterium
Lineage: Bacteria
Description: partial 16S ribosomal RNA
Rfam family: Bacterial small subunit ribosomal RNA
Source: RNAcentral
UACGUAGGGGGCAAGCGUUAUCCGGAUUUACUGGGUGUAAAGGGGGCGCAGACGGCAAUGCAAGCCAGGAGUGAAAGCCCGGGGCCCAACCCCGGGACUGCUCUUGGAACUGCAUGGCUGGAGUACAGGAGGGGCAGGCGGAAUUCCUAGUGUAGCGGUGAAAUGCGUAGAUAUUAGGAGGAACACCAGUGGCGAAGGCGGCCUGCUGGACGACAACUGACGGUGAGGCGCGAAAGCGUGGGGAGCAAACAGG